Molecule: ribosomal RNA, 465 nt
Filed under: uncultured bacterium
Lineage: Bacteria
Description: bacterial SSU rRNA
Rfam family: Bacterial small subunit ribosomal RNA
Source: RNAcentral
GGCCAGACUCCUACGGGAGGCAGCAGUGAGGAAUAUUGGUCAAUGGCCGAAGGGCUGAACCAGCCAAGCCGCGUGAAGGAAUAAGGCCCUACGGGUCGUAAACUUCUUUAGUCAGGGAACAAAGGGUGCCACGUGUGGCGCUGUGAGUGUACCUGAAGAAUAAGCAUCGGCUAACUCCGUGCCAGCAGCCGCGGUAAUACGGAGGAUGCGAGCGUUAUCCGGAUUUAUUGGGUUUAAAGGGUGCGUAGGCGGGACCUUAAGUCAGCGGUAAAAUUGCGGUGCUCAACGCCGUAGAGCCGUUGAAACUGGGGUUCUUGAGUGAGCGAGAAGUAUGCGGAAUGCGUGGUGUAGCGGUGAAAUGCAUAGAUAUCACGCAGAACCCCGAUUGCGAAGGCAGCAUACCGGCGCUCAACUGACGCUGAGGCACGAAAGUGUGGGUAUCGAACAGGAUUAGAUACCCGCGUA